GACGAACGCUGGCGGCGUGCUUAACACAUGCAAGUCGAACGGAAAGGCCCUGCUUUUGUGGGGUGCUCGAGUGGCGAACGGGUGAGUAACACGUGAGUAACUUGCCCUUGACUUUGGGAUAACUUCAGGAAACUGGGGCUAAUACCGGAUAGGAGCUCCUGCUGCAUGGUGGGGGUUGGAAAGUUUCGGCGGUUGGGGAUGGACUCGCGGCUUAUCAGCUUGUUGGUGGGGUAGUGGCUUACCAAGGCUUUGACGGGUAGCCGGCCUGAGAGGGUGACCGGCCACAUUGGGACUGAGAUACGGCCCAGACUCCUACGGGAGGCAGCAGUGGGGAAUAUUGCACAAUGGGCGGAAGCCUGAUGCAGCAACGCCGCGUGCGGGAUGACGGCCUUCGGGUUGUAAACCGCUUUCGCCUGUGACGAAGCGUGAGUGACGGUAAUGGGUAAAGAAGCACCGGCUAACUACGU
RNAcentral lists this ribosomal RNA (467 nucleotides) under uncultured bacterium. RNAcentral describes it as "partial 16S ribosomal RNA". It matches the Rfam family "Bacterial small subunit ribosomal RNA", at positions 28 to 506 of the family's 1533-position model. The record is from RNAcentral.